ACCCUCCUGGUGCUUACUACAGGCUGUGUUCUUAUUUACUGGACUAUAUAGAAGAGAGGAGGCAAAGUAAAUUUACCCCAUAUAUACCUUAGCUAGGAACCGUGCCUGGUCUGUAUUAUGAAUGGGGAAAAUGG
Molecule: small nucleolar RNA, 134 nt
Filed under: Castor canadensis (American beaver)
Lineage: Eukaryota; Metazoa; Chordata; Mammalia; Rodentia; Castoridae
Description: Small nucleolar RNA SNORA51 (ENSCCNG00000006269.1)
Rfam family: Small nucleolar RNA SNORA51
About the family: ACA51 is a member of the H/ACA class of snoRNA that guide the sites of modification of uridines to pseudouridines.
Source: Rfam by way of RNAcentral